Glossina fuscipes is the source of this 2361-nucleotide RNA transcript. It is a transcript of the gene named cytoplasmic FMR1-interacting protein-like, with no coding region annotated. The transcript is spliced from 6 exons. The record is from RefSeq and is a predicted model, not a curated record. Lineage: Eukaryota; Metazoa; Arthropoda; Insecta; Diptera; Glossinidae.
CAAAUUUUUGGUGUAGGUUAGGGAGCUAUUCAAAUUUUUCUUCAGAUAGAAUCUACCGCAAUUUUCAUACUGCUGCAACUGUCAAAGCCGCUGAAGAUAUGGGAUUGUAUGUCAAGGCUGUCGUCUGCGAUCCGAUGCUCCGUUAACAAACGAAUACUCGGAGGAAAAUUUGCCAGCAGCGCGUACGAAAGAAAACUGGCAGACGGCAGCACCUACCUAAUACGUCUAUUAUAUGACUACGCCCAUUUUGUAGAUGCGCUACUAAAAAAAUUCAGAAGGGAAAAGAAAAUAUAAUCAGCGCCCAGCUCACCAUUCUGGGAGAAGACUGGUUGUAUGCCGUCGUAUAGCGCGCUAUGGGGAUCGUGCGCCGCGAUUAUGCAAUUCCUGAGUAAUACACAGGUCGCGACUUUCCUGCCGACUAUAAAGAUUAAGGAGAUUGACAACUCUGACGGCAAGGCGAAAAGGAAGUGCGAAUUAAUCAGUGCGCUAACGAAGUUCAUUAACUCCUCCUCCUCGCAAUAUUCGCUGUAUUGCAAUGAUUAAGACACAAGAUGAGUCGCCACCAGGCCAUAACAGCGAAUAUCCUCAUUGGGACGUUAAAAGCAGUAAAUUUCUGAUACAAUUGUAUGAUUUAAUUUAAUGCCCAUUAAAAAAAUUUAUUGAUGCACAUUAACGAUAUAUCAGCGCAUGUUAGAGCUUAAGUUUUACAAAUAAGGCAACACAGUGGCGUCUUAAUUGAAAAUGCAGGAAGUCCUUUUAACUCACUUCAUUUCCAUGAUUGGUUAUAUGUCAAUCCAAGAAAUGAUAUUUCUUGACAUCGAUGUUUACAAUAACAUGAAAUACCGCCAAGAACUAACAGAAUGUACAUAGAAGAAAAGCAAGAGCCCUUUUACGAAUUGUAAUGAAAACCGCCUCAAGACGACUAAAUUAAAUAUGCCUGUCACCGAGUCGUUGAAGCGUUUAACAAGCGCGGCAGCCGAGCCGCAGCCAGAAGCAUGACGAAGACUGAGUAGGUGCUACUGCUGAGGAUGAUGUGGGCGAAUUGAUUUGUAAAUACCCUUUCAAUAUCUCGCACCAACGUUACAGCAAUCAGCCUCUUUGGCUCUUAUAUGCGUUUCAUCACCCGUCUGUGACUCUUACAUGCCUUUCUUGAUGAAUAUUCUCAGUCAUACCAAAAAUAUCAAAAUCAAAUGCAGCAUUUUGAUCGGCCUAUCUGAUCUCAUAUUUCGCUUUCCUAGUAUUAUUGAACCGUGGACUGGUCUUUUUAUUCGACACUGCAUGAUGAAAACAUAGAGUUGCCUUUCACGUAAAAGUAGUAAAAAUUGUAUUCCAGUAGGAACCUUAGUGGAAAAGCUGAUGUGCGAUACUCUUGACUGAAUUUAGUGGUUAUUUGAUUAGCAGAAUAAUUGCAACUGUUUCAAUUUAUAUCUCUUCAAAAGUUAUUAUAAAUCAAUGGUCGUUUCUUCUUUGUUCAGUACCAUCAGUGUGGACACUUGUACCUUAAUUAGUGGAAUCUACUGUUCGGAUGUAGCUAAAGCAAAAUUCCGAGCUUUGAAAAUGGUUUUCAAUGAAAUCUGCUUAUGCACUAGCAUGAUGAUUGGCAAUGUUUUAACUGGUUACAUGCAUGAGACUAAUUGCUGCGGCGGGUCAAGAGAUUGGCACUAGACGUUUCCAAUUAGUGGUAGAACGCACUUGGAAACGCACUGCUUUUGGCGGAUGGAAACUGGAUCAGAUGUCCCUAAAUUAAUAGCAGAAUACAUGCGCCAGGAAUUGCUCGUAGGUGAAUUUGUUACACACACUACGCAGGUUGAAAAAAUUAAUGAUGCUUUUGAAUUGAUGCAUGAGGGUAAAAGUAUACGAAAUCUGGUGAAAAUUUAAAUCUAGUGAUUUAUAAAGAUUAUAAUCUAAAUUUUGCACCAGGGCAUCAGUCAACCAUUGCUUCUUUCUAAUAAAUUGUUGGAGGUUCUAUUGAUACCACAAAAAGUUGGAAUCAGCUGUAUUUUUAUAAUAAAUAAUUGGUGGACGUACUGUUGAAAUAAUUGUGGAGUACUAGUAUCCCGAUUUCUACAAAACGACAAAAUACAAAAAAUCUCAACAAAAAACAUAGACCUCAAAGUAUUGUUACACAGCAGAGGCAUAAGGGAUCGAAAAAACUUGAAAUUUUGAAUUCAUCGUCGUUUGAAUGAUGACUUAUUAUUACUCUCUCUACGUGUUGAUUUCUUAUUUUAACCGCGUGAGCAUCGGCAGCGUAACAGACGUUUUUAAUUAUAAAAUUUUAAUAAAAAAAUCUUCAUAGAAGUGUUAACCAAUUUUUACGAAUUCCUUUUACAAAGGGCAUUAUCUUUAUUUACAAAAUAAGUC